CCUACGGGUUGCAGCAGUGAGGAAUAUUGGUCAAUGGGCGGGAGCCUGAACCAGCCAAGUCGCGUGAGGGAAGACGGUCCUAUGGAUUGUAAACCUCUUUAGGCGGGGAGCAAUGCCGGGCACGCGUGCCCGGAGGGAGAGUACCCGCAGAAUAAGCAUCGGCUAACUCCGUGCCAGCAGCCGCGGUAAUACGGAGGAUGCGAGCGUUAUCCGGAUUUAUUGGGUUUAAAGGGUGCGUAGGCGGACGCUUAAGUCAGCGGUAAAAUUGCGGGGCUCAACCUCGUCGAGCCGUUGAAACUGGGUGCCUUGAGUGGGCGAGAAGUACGCGGAAUGCGUGGUGUAGCGGUGAAAUGCAUAGAUAUCACGCAGAACUCCGAUUGCGAAGGCAGCGUACCGGCGCCCAACUGACGCUGAAGCACGAAGGCGUGGGUAUCGAACAGGAUUAGAUACCCCUGUAGUC
This 460-nucleotide ribosomal RNA is filed under the name uncultured bacterium. Its description in RNAcentral is "partial 16S ribosomal RNA". It matches the Rfam family "Bacterial small subunit ribosomal RNA", at positions 338 to 795 of the family's 1533-position model. The record is from RNAcentral.